GAAUAUUGCACAAUGGGCGCAAGCCUGAUGCAGCCAUGCCGCGUGUGUGAAGAAGGCCUUCGGGUUGUAAAGCACUUUCAGUGGUGAGGAAGGGUGUGUUGUUAAUAGCAGCAUACAUUGACGUUAGCCACAGAAGAAGCACCGGCUAACUCCGUGCCAGCAGCCGCGGUAAUACGGAGGGUGCGAGCGUUAAUCGGAAUUACUGGGCGUAAAGCGUACGUAGGCGGCCUGUUAAGCAAGAUGUGAAAUCCCCGGGCUCAACCUGGGAAUGGCAUUUUGAACUGGCAGGCUCGAGUUCUGAAGAGGGUGGUAGAAUUUCCAGUGUAGCGGUGAAAUGCGUAGAUGUUGGAAGGAAUACCGGUGGCGAAGGCGGCCACCUGGUCAGAAACUGACGCUGAGGUACGAAAGCGUGGGGAGCAAACAGG
This 425-nucleotide ribosomal RNA is filed under the name uncultured bacterium. RNAcentral's name for it is "bacterial SSU rRNA". It matches the Rfam family "Bacterial small subunit ribosomal RNA", at positions 359 to 776 of the family's 1533-position model. The record is from RNAcentral.